Molecule: ribosomal RNA, 561 nt
Filed under: uncultured eukaryote
Lineage: Eukaryota
Description: SSU rRNA
Rfam family: Eukaryotic small subunit ribosomal RNA
Source: RNAcentral
CCAGCUCCAAUAGCGUAUAUUAAAGUUGUUGCAGUUAAAAAGCUCGUAGUUGGAUUUCUGGUGGUAGGUACCGGUCUGCCCCUCGGGGCGUGUACUUGUGUGGCCUGCUGCCAUCCUUGGGGAGAGCGUGCCUGGCAUUAGGUUGUCGGGUACGGGAUCCCCAUCCUUUACUGUGAAAAAAUUAGAGUGUUUAAAGCAGGCUUAGGCCGUUGAAUACAUUAGCAUGGAAUAAUAAGAUAGGACUUUGGUGGUCUAUUUUGUUGGUUUGCACACCAAGGUAAUGAUUAAUAGGGACAGUUGGGGAUAUCCGUAUUUCGUAGUCAGAGGUGAAAUUCUUGGAUUUACGAAAGACGAACUACUGCGAAAGCAUUUAUCAAGGAUGUUUUCAUUAAUCAAGAACGAAAGUUAGGGGAUCGAAGAUGAUUAGAUACCAUCGUAGUCUUAACCAUAAACUAUGCCGACUAGGGAUUGGCGGUCGUUACUCUUAUGACUCCGUCAGCACCUUAUGAGAAAUCAAAGUCUUUGAGUUCCGGGGGGAGUAUGGUCGCAAGGCUGAAACUU